AGUGGGGCCAUUUUUUUGUACUAUACACACAAAAAAUCAUUACAAUAACAUAUCUAAAAUAAAAUCAAGUGACCAAGAUAUUCUCAAAAUGCCAGUGGAGGUUCCUACCAAACAAAUAAUAGAUCUGCACUCUCAAAGGUUAUGCCUACAUAUGGAAGAGCAUCUACAAUAGCUAGGAAUCUGAAUUACCAGAAUGGAAGCCUCGCG
Molecule: unclassified non-coding RNA, 207 nt
Filed under: Hevea brasiliensis (rubber tree)
Lineage: Eukaryota; Viridiplantae; Streptophyta; Magnoliopsida; Malpighiales; Euphorbiaceae
Source: RNAcentral